Long non-coding RNA from Varanus komodoensis (Komodo dragon), 375 nucleotides. RefSeq lists it as uncharacterized. Lineage: Eukaryota; Metazoa; Chordata; Lepidosauria; Squamata; Varanidae. The transcript has 3 exons. The record is from RefSeq and is a predicted model, not a curated record.
CUCGUUUUCCUAACACUAUCCCUACCCUGGUGAACACCCUAACCCUAAUUUACGGGGGGAAAUAGCACUCGAAGGGAUGAUUCUGAAACAUCCUUCCUUGAGUAGCUAUUCCUGCACAGGUCAUCACAUGUGGCUCAACAUGCGUAGGCUUCCACCACAAUUCAUUUUUCUCGCCGUUUGUGAUCCUACUCCACCGCUGUCCAGCCUGUGAUUUCGAGCAACCUGUGCUGAUGAUGACUGGACAAUACUAACCACCCCUCUUAUUUUUUGACCUUUCGGGGAGAUGCUGGCAGUCCCGUCAUUCGUGAGGCCGACGCCAGGAAGGAGCUGCGUGGGACCGUAAGCGGGGUGCUAGCUAGACACGGGGCAGGGCUG